Pelobates cultripes (western spadefoot toad) is the source of this 322-nucleotide non-coding RNA. Lineage: Eukaryota; Metazoa; Chordata; Amphibia; Anura; Pelobatidae. The record is from the annotation of a GenBank genome assembly.
CAAAUAAAGAAGACACAAACAUUUCUACCUUAAAAUCCAUUUAUUCAUCUCAGAGAUAUGAAAUUAACAGCUUCAUUACAUGUCAUUCAAAAAAUUUAAUAAACCUUUUAGUGUCCUUGCAAGUUACAAUAUGUCGGUACGACUACUAGAAGUUUAAAAACCUGUAUAGCAGAACAUUGCAGAAACAUAUCAAAAUGUUUUUUUUAAAUCAUUCAGUGUCUAAACAUUUUUUAACUCAUAAUAAAAACCCUAAAUGUUAAACAUUUUAUGAUAUAGAAAAAAUAUCUCCAUCCGUGUCGAGGUGGCAACCUUUCUAAAAUAC